Long non-coding RNA from Talpa occidentalis (Iberian mole), 204 nucleotides. RefSeq lists it as uncharacterized. The transcript has 3 exons. NCBI's taxonomy places the organism in Eukaryota, Metazoa, Chordata, Mammalia, Eulipotyphla, Talpidae. The record is from RefSeq and is a predicted model, not a curated record.
GAAGUAGACUGAGAAAACCACCCAACUGAAUCUUUGCUGUUUCUUACAAAAAAGAAAGAAUUUGUCAGAGGGCUCUCUCCUCAGCAUAGGACAUGAGGAGUUCAGCCCUCCCAAAGAGUCACCUCAGGACAAGAACAAGGACUAUGCUUUAACAAAAGAAUUCAUCUUCUCCAAUUCCUGCAGUUAAUUAAAAUGCUUUGGUUC